CUAUGCGGACGACCGCAUGCGCAUCGUUUCAUCGGGGACGGCCCCA
Molecule: regulatory RNA element, 46 nt
Rfam family: Guanidine-II riboswitch aptamer (mini-ykkC)
About the family: Simpler in structure and has fewer highly conserved nucleotide positions than the ykkC-yxkD leader. Despite this each of its two stem-loop structures directly bind free guanidine. Therefore, mini-ykkC RNA motif represents a distinct class of guanidine-sensing RNAs.
Source: Rfam